UAAAAAUAAAAAAUAGAAGUUAUAUUCCAUAGCAUGAGAUUGACCAUCAUAAUAAAUCCGUACGAGUGAUUCGGGUAGAAAAGGGGGGGAUUCAUCUUCAUCAGAUGCUUUCGGAUCUGAUCUGAGGAAGAAGCUCCAUACCCCUUUUCGGAUCUGAUUGGCCACUAUAGAAUCUAGGCUAAGACAACUUUGAGUAUUACCAAUUGUCAAACCAAAACCAAAAUCUAGGAACAAAACGGGGGCUGAGAGAUCUCCAUUGGACUGAAAAUGGAGUUCUUGGACGAGGAUGCCAGGCCCAAGUUCCUCUUUAAGGCACGGCCACAACCUGCUCCUUCGGCCACAGAUCCACAAACUCACCCCACCAAUAAGCUAUGCAACCCAAUCCUCCUCCUCACAGUUUCACUCUCAUUCCUUCUCUUCCUCCUCUCCAUCUUCUUCCUCCAAUCCGAACCCUUUAAAUCUCUCCUCUUAUGGCUCUCCUUCUCCUUCAUUUUAGGCCCAUUCGCCCCUGCUUCCUUCACAGGCGGUGACAUUAGCGUUGGUCAAGGUCCGGUUCUUGAUCUCCCAGAAGAGUCAUCCCAAUCUGAUGAGGAUACCAAGAAGAGGGGUUCUCAGAAGAGGUCUAAAGUUCGUCGAUAUGAGGAAGUGCCAGUUGAUUCAGUACCGGUGGUUGAAAAUCUUAAUGGGUCUGUGAGAGAACGGAAGAACAAGAAGAAUGAUGACAAUGGGGUUGUAGUUUUUGGGGAAGAAGAAAAGGAGUGGGUUGAGGAGGAAAUUGAGGUUCUGAAAAAGCAGCUUUUGAAGAAUCCGGUGGGGAAGCCGAGGCGGUGGGAAGUGAUUGCUGAGGCUUUCUCGGGUCGGCAUAAGGUGGAGAGUGUGAUCAAGAAGGCCAAGGAGUUAGGGGAGAAGAAAUCGAACGAUGCUGAUUCGUAUUCGGAGUUCUUGAAGAAGAGGAAUAAAACAGCAGAUCAGAGAAUUGAGCUUGGUUCAAAUGAAGGAGGAUCUGAUGGUGUUGGUUCAAUGGCAGAAAAUGGAGUUGUGAGUUGGGCUAGUGGAGAAGACAUUGCUUUGCUUAAUGCUUUGAAGGCUUUUCCUAAGGAGGUUUCGAUGAGGUGGGAGAAAAUUGCUGCUGCUGUUCCUGGAAAAUCCAAGGCAGCCUGUAUGAAGAGAGUUACUGAACUCAAGAAAGAUUUUAGAAGCUCAAAAGCUUCUACUAUUGUUGAGAAUUAGAUAGAUGAAGCAGUGAUUUGAAUCGGGUUUUGGCUGGAAUUUGAUUUGAGAGUUGAUAUAAGGAGGUACUUUCAGCAGUUGGCUACCAGUUUACCGUGGGCACGAUAACGGGACACCAAAUGUGUGUCCUUUCCGGUCCUCUCGUACUAAGGAAAGGUCCUCUCGAUGCUCUAAUGUCCGCACCGGAUAUGGAACGAACUGUCUCAGGACGUUCUGAACUCAGCUCAUGUACUGCUUUAGUGGGCGAAUAGCUCAAUCCUUGGAAUAUAUAAUCUUAAAGUGACUAUAAUCAUAACAAUCAAAUACUAUUUGCCAUUUUAGAUAGUGAAUCUCAAUAAAAAUUUAUAUAUAUAUAUAUAUAUGCUUUAAAAUAGUAUAUUAGAAUAAGUGCUAAUUUAAUGUGAUUAAAUCUAAAACCAUGAAGAUAUACUACUUUUUCAUUAGUGUUUUCUUUCCCUUUAACUUUGUAUUCAUUGUUGUUGAUGAUUCUAUGUUUAAUAAUAUUAUGAUCCAUAUCUCA
Cannabis sativa is the source of this 1750-nucleotide RNA transcript. It is a transcript of the gene named transcription factor MAMYB, with no coding region annotated. NCBI's taxonomy places the organism in Eukaryota, Viridiplantae, Streptophyta, Magnoliopsida, Rosales, Cannabaceae. The transcript is spliced from 3 exons. The record is from RefSeq and is a predicted model, not a curated record.